This 497-nucleotide ribosomal RNA is filed under the name uncultured bacterium. RNAcentral's name for it is "partial 16S ribosomal RNA". It matches the Rfam family "Bacterial small subunit ribosomal RNA", at positions 28 to 507 of the family's 1533-position model. The record is from RNAcentral.
GACGAACGCUGGCGGCGUGCCUAAUACAUGCAAGUAGAACGCUGAAGAGAGGAGCUUGCUCUUCUUGGAUGAGUUGCGAACGGGUGAGUAACGCGUAGGUAACCUGCCUUGUAGCGGGGGAUAACUAUUGGAAACGAUAGCUAAUACCGCAUAACAAUGGAUGACACAUGUCAUUUAUUUGAAAGGGGCAAUUGCUCCACUACAAGAUGGACCUGCGUUGUAUUAGCUAGUAGGUGAGGUAACGGCUCACCUAGGCGACGAUACAUAGCCGACCUGAGAGGGUGAUCGGCCACACUGGGACUGAGACACGGCCCAGACUCCUACGGGAGGCAGCAGUAGGGAAUCUUCGGCAAUGGGGGCAACCCUGACCGAGCAACGCCACGUGAGUGAAGAAGGUUUUCGGAUCGUAAAGCUCUGUUGUAAGUCAAGAACGAGUGUGAGAGUGGAAAGUUCACACUGUGACGGUAGCUUACCAGAAAGGGACGGCUAACUACGUG